UACUCGAGUGGCGAACGGGUGAGUAACACGUGGGUGAUCUGCCUUGCACUCUGGGAUAAGCUUGGGAAACUGGGUCUAAUACCGGAUAGGAACCGUCUUUAGUGUGGUGGUUGGAAAGUUUUUUCGGUGCAAGAUGAGCUCGCGGCCUAUCAGCUUGUUGGUGGGGUAAUGGCCUACAAAGGCGUCGACGGGUAGCCGGCCUGAGAGGGUGUACGGCCACAUUGGGACUGAGAUACGGCCCAG
Molecule: ribosomal RNA, 243 nt
Filed under: uncultured Actinomycetales bacterium
Lineage: Bacteria; Bacillati; Actinomycetota; Actinomycetes; Actinomycetales
Description: partial 16S ribosomal RNA
Rfam family: Bacterial small subunit ribosomal RNA
Source: RNAcentral